RNAcentral lists this ribosomal RNA (468 nucleotides) under uncultured bacterium. RNAcentral describes it as "partial 16S ribosomal RNA". It matches the Rfam family "Bacterial small subunit ribosomal RNA", at positions 28 to 507 of the family's 1533-position model. The record is from RNAcentral.
GACGAACGCUGGCGGCGUGCUUAACACAUGCAAGUCGAACGGAAAGGCCCUGCUUUUGUGGGGUGCUCGAGUGGCGAACGGGUGAGUAACACGUGAGUAACCUGCCCUUGACUUUGGGAUAACUUCAGGAAACUGGGGCUAAUACCGGAUAGGAGCUCCUGCUGCAGGGUGGGGGUUGGAAAGUUUCGGCGGUUGGGGCUGGACUCGCGGCUUAUCAGCUUGUUGGUGGGGUAGUGGCUUACCAAGGCUUUGACGGGUAGCCGGCCUGGUAGGGUGACCGGCCCCAUUGGGCCUGAGAUACGGCCCAGACCCCUCCGGGACGCAGCGGUGGGGAAUAUUGCACUAUGGGCGGAAGCCUGAUGCAGCAACGCCGCGUGCGGGAUGACGGCCUUCGGGUUGUAUACCGCUUUCGCCUGUGCCGAAGCGUGAGUGACGGUACUGGGUAAAGAAGCACCGGCUAACUCCGUG